This 467-nucleotide ribosomal RNA is filed under the name uncultured bacterium. RNAcentral describes it as "partial 16S ribosomal RNA". It matches the Rfam family "Bacterial small subunit ribosomal RNA", at positions 28 to 507 of the family's 1533-position model. The record is from RNAcentral.
GACGAACGCUGGCGGCGUGCUUAACACAUGCAAGUCGAACGGAAAGGCCCUGCUUUUGUGGGGUGCUCGAGUGGCGAACGGGUGAGUAACACGUGAGUAACCUGCCCUUGACUUUGGGAUAACUUCAGGAAACUGGGGCUAAUACCGGAUAGGAGCUCCUGCUGCAUGGUGGGGGUUGGAAAGUUUCGGCGGUUGGGGAUGGACUCGCGGCUUAUCAGCUUGUUGGUGGGGUAGUGGCUUACCAAGGCUUUGACGGGUAGCCGGCCUGAGAGGGUGACCGGCCACAUUGGGACUGAGAUACGGCCCAGACUCCUACGGGAGGCAGCAGUGGGGAAUAUUGCACAAUGGCGGAAGCCUGAUGCAGCAACGCCGCAUGCGGGAUGACGGCCUUCGGGUUGUAAACCGCUUUCGCCUGUGACGAAGCGUGAGUGACGGUAAUGGGUAAAGAAGCACCGGCUAACUACGUG